RNAcentral lists this unclassified non-coding RNA (433 nucleotides) under soil metagenome. Its description in RNAcentral is "partial contains 5.8S ribosomal RNA, internal transcribed spacer 2, and large subunit ribosomal RNA". The stretch from base 1 to 120 matches the Rfam family "5.8S ribosomal RNA", at positions 35 to 154 of the family's 154-position model. The record is from RNAcentral.
GAUAAAGAACGCAGCGAAAUGCGAUACGUAAUGUGAAUUGCAGAAUUCAGUGAAUCAUCGAAUCUUUGAACGCAUAUUGCGCUCUCUGGUAUUCCGGAGAGCAUGCUUGUUUGAGUAUCAGUAAACACCUCAACUUCCAUAUCUUUUUUGAAAUGGGAGUUGGACUUGAGUGAUCCCAACGCUUUUCCUCACCGAAAAGUGGCGGGUUACUUGAAAUGCAGGUGCAGCUGGACUUUUCUCUGAGCUAUAAGCAUAUCUAUUUAGUCUGCCUAAAAAACAGAUUAUUACCUUUGCUGCAGCUAACAUAAAGGAGAUUAGUUCUUGUGCUGACUGAUGCAGGAUUCACAAAGACAGGCUUCGGCCGACUUUGUAAACUCGAUCUCAAAUCAAGUAAGACUACCCGCUGAACUUAAGCAUAUCAAUAAGCGGAGGA